AAGAAAUAAGGCUUUUGGUUUUCUCAAUUUAAUUGUUUCAUAGUUUUUAUGCCGGGGCUUAUUGUAGCCGACUAUACGGUAUAGGGGUUUUCUCAUGGUUGAAGGACGUUCUGUACGGUUGCCUAUAACUUAAAUCCACUUCAUCUGAAUUUUGAUGGAUAUAUGUAUAUAUAUAUAUAUAUAUAUAGUUUAAUCUUAGUUGUCUCAUUGACAAAUAUGCCACA
Molecule: long non-coding RNA, 224 nt
Filed under: Mytilus galloprovincialis (Mediterranean mussel)
Lineage: Eukaryota; Metazoa; Mollusca; Bivalvia; Mytilida; Mytilidae
Source: RNAcentral